RNAcentral lists this ribosomal RNA (400 nucleotides) under uncultured bacterium. RNAcentral's name for it is "bacterial SSU rRNA". It matches the Rfam family "Bacterial small subunit ribosomal RNA", at positions 127 to 524 of the family's 1533-position model. The record is from RNAcentral.
UACCUUUAUCCGGGGCAUAGCCCGAAGAAAUUCGGAUUAACACCCCAUAAGAUUGUAAGGCGGCAUCGCUUAGCAAUUAAAAAUUUAUUGGAUAGAGAUUGGCGUGCGUCCUAUUAGCUAGUUGGUACGGGUAACGGCCUACCAAGGCGACGAUAGGUAGCUGGUGUGAGAGCACGACCAGCCACACGGGCACUGAGACACGGGCCCGACUCCUACGGGAGGCAGCAGUGAGGAAUAUUGGUCAAUGGGCGCAAGCCUGAACCAGCCAUGCCGCGUGAAGGAUGAAGGCGUUCUGCGUCGUAAACUUCUUUUAUUGGGGAAGAAACCUGAGAUGUCUAUUUCAGCCGACGGUACCCAAGGAAUAAGCACCGGCUAACUCCGUGCCAGCAGCCGCGGUAAU